CCCCUUUAAAUCUCAUAAAAAAGAGCCUAUAUUUAAGAUGUCAGGGGAACUUGACUAUAGUGAUAAACGUCUUACGAAAUAGGCGUUUCGGACCCGGGGGCGGAACCCGGCACCUCCACCAUUAAGGUUUAACUAUGGGGGUGAAUUAGGAUCGACGAGCGUAAUAAAGGUUGGAUUUUUACUCGGUAUGGUACCACCGUUAUCGGGCUA
RNAcentral lists this transfer-messenger RNA (210 nucleotides) under Alphaproteobacteria bacterium. RNAcentral describes it as "partial transfer-messenger RNA". It matches the Rfam family "Alphaproteobacteria transfer-messenger RNA", at positions 1 to 220 of the family's 355-position model. From Rfam's summary of the family: Bacterial tmRNA, also known as 10Sa RNA or SsrA, is named for its dual tRNA and mRNA-like properties. Its role is to liberate the mRNA from a stalled ribosome. Lineage: Bacteria; Pseudomonadati; Pseudomonadota; Alphaproteobacteria. The record is from RNAcentral.